GGGCAGCGGGGCCGGGCCGGCGCCUCUGCCAACCCCGCCGGGCGCUCGGGACGCGGCGGGAAGAGAAAUUUUCCGCUGCGGACGAAGCUUUCGCGUCCCUGUGAGAGAAAGGAGCGGCCGCGGCUCCCGAGAGCCCGGGCCGGGAUGUGAGGGAGGCGGUGGCGCGGCCGUGACGCGGCGCGGGGCGGAGCGGGCGCGGGUCCGUCCGGCCAUGCCGAAGCGCUCCUGCCCCUUCGGGGACGCGGCCCCGCUCCAGCUGAAGACCCGCGUGGGGCUGCGGGAGCUGAGCCGCGGCGUGCGGGGCGAGGAGUACCGGCGGGAGGUGUUCGAGAGGACCCGGCGGCUGCUCUUCAGGGGUGCCCAGGCCUACAUGGAGGGCGCGGCGGCCGCAGCCCGUGCGGCGGAGCCGGGGCCGGCCGGGGAGGCGCAGGGCGAGGGGCCCCGCUGGAGCGGGCAGCUCCUCAUCGGCCACGACGGCAAACUGCGGCGGCGGCCCGCGGACAGGGUUCCGCCGGUGGGAGCGUCCAGAGCCUGCUCGUCGUGUGUGAGAACGGCCGAUGUGAAGGAGGCGUGUGCGCACUGUGACCGCUUCGUCUGCCAGAGCUGCAGCAGGCUCUGCAGCUGCUGUAACACGGUUACCUGCUCUUUGUGCUCCGCUGUUGAUUGUGAUAUGCCUGUCUGGAAGGGACCACUCUGUGCUCAUUCCUGGUGAUACGGGAUUCAGAAUAUUCUCUUCGCUUGUUGGUCAUGUUAGGACACACUUUUGUGGGAUCAGAAUAGAAAUCAGUUGCUCCUUCUGUGCUUUCAGCCAUUUCUGUUUGAAGAGGUGGAAAGUCCAUGGCAGUGCAAUUUGAAAGCCUGACUCCUCCCCCGUGGGGACAUCUUUAUUUGACAUUCUGUUGGAGAUAUUCUGGGUAUUUUCCUGUCAGAAUCCUGCAGCUACCCAAGAAGACUGGUAAAUGCUUUAGCAAAGGGUGGGGGGCUGUUGCUGGAGAGCAGCUCUUCUUCAUAGCUGCAGUGUCAUGGCUUUGGGUGUAUCAGCCACAGUGAGGUGCAGGAUGACAUUCUCUCCAGCCUGUGUAGCACUUUGUAUAACUAUGCAGGCACACUUCGAAAGCAUUUGUGCCCUUUAGGGUUUCCUGAGGGGUGUCACUUCAUUCCCAACCUUCUGUGCCAGCUUAGACUGACCAUCUGUGCCAGCCUGGACGUGCUGAUGGAUCUGGUUAGUUUUCCUGUUCUACAUGCCAGUGAAAAUGGGACACUUUACUGGUUCUUACUCCAGUCUUCAUUUUGAGCAAUUCUGAAAUGUGUCUUAUCUUCGUUCCCCUAACAAACAAAAAAGUCUCAAGUCAGGUGACUUGGUAGUGCAGGAUUAGUUGGAAUGUGCAGGAAUUCCAUAGCAUUAUCUAUCUUUUCAAAGCUCUCAUAGAUGAAGUCAGGGUGGUGGCAGAUCUCUGGUGCUGUUCCCAGCUGGUAUCACAGGGCAGCUCCUGUGGCAAUCAUUUUAAACCAAAAAGCUGAGUUUUAUGGAUGGGAAGAACCUGUGGUUUACUGCAUUUAGAUGUUAGUUUUAGGAAAGAGUUUUAAGACUUGUCUUUGUUUCAUUUGAAGCUUUAAGCAGUGAACUAAAGUGUUUUUCAGUCAAGUAUAUUUUUCGAAAUAAAACCUUUAAGUAUGUGUCUGCUUUUUCUUACUCUCUCCUGAGGGUGAGAGAUUGAAAAUAAUGUUUUGCUUCUAGGCUCUGGGAGAGAUGAGACAUGUUGUUACAAAUGAUUUGUGUUUCAAACUAGUGAUAGAAAUGUUUUUUUGGCUCAUUUACUCACUGCUGUAUUUCAUAGAAAGCUGUCCUCUGUAAACAAUAACAUAAAUUUCAUGGCUUAAUGUUCUUAUUUGUUAUCCUCUAGCUGCUUGAAAGACAGUUGUGCAUUAGGAUAGAUACCCAAUGCAGUGUGAAGAGCUGGGAGAAGAAAAGCAGGAGGGCUGGAAGAAGGUUAGAGGCUGGGAGGGGAAGGGCAGGAGGAGCACUGAGCAGCAUGGCCAGCUCUUGCAUAGGGGAGGUCUUUGAUACUUGUGAGGAAUGGGGUUCAGUGGUUACCAACUCUGCUUAUGUGGCUUCAGAAGGUGAGAAAACUGCCUGUGCCUACCCAAAGACUCAAAUAUUAUUCAGGAAAGUUCUUUUUCUAGUCCUGCAGUUCUCAGAUAAACAAUGGGAGGUGAGACUGGAGACUGUAAAUCUUUAUAAUGCCUACAGAAAAAAAAUAAAAAACCUGUGUGAUGGGAAGAAUCUUUGGGUGAAAAGUAUAAAGAUUUUUCUCUUUGCCUAAUUAACUCCUCCUCACAAGGACUUGUCUGUUGCCACUGAUCAUUGAGCUGUAAUAGAGUUACAAUACAACACAAAGGGUACCCCUAGGACUGUAAAUGAGAGCCAGAGAAAUUGUCUGGUUUAUUAGCUGAGCAGGAAAUUGGGUUUAAUCGUGUGCUUUUUUGUUGCAAUUGUAUGUUCUUCCCCUCCCACUCAGUGCAAAGUGUCAAAAAUCAAAGUUUGCCUGCUGUUCCAAGGGAAGGAGAUCCCCUGAGGAGCCAGCAUAUUGAUAGAUAAAAAUAUCCUGCAGUAAUGAUUUUACAGAUGGAUUAGAAACUUCUGAGGCCUGUGUGACAUAUGUCUCAAAAAGCAGAUCUUUAUGUCCAAAAGGAUCUGAUCUGAUCAGGAUAAAACAAUUUCUCUUAAGACUAAUAACUGAGUCAAUUCUAGAAAUGUGUGGUUUCAUAGACACCAGGUAUUUAAGGACAGUCUAAGGUGGUAAAUUACUGCAGUAGUCUCCAGACUGUAUUAGAACAAACCCACAACCUUAUAAAAAAGCUCACUGAAAAGAACAAAAACACUUCAGCUGUCUCCUUCAAUAGCAUUUGUCCUGUGCACAAAGGAACUCCCAAAUAUUUUGCAGUUCAGUCCAGAAGUCUGCUUUCUUCCAAGAGAAAAGUGAGCCAUUCUACAGGUGAUCCAGACAACGUGAAAAUUAAAAAUAAAUAAAUGUUAGCUCUGCAUUCUGUGAUGGAUGAGUCUUUUGUUUAAUACAGCCAGCACCUCAGCCUCUUCCCCUCCUUUUUGUUUUAGUGUCCUACACAUUUGGGCCCUGACUUGUAGCCAGUUCAGGUGUUUUUUAUAUUCCUUUCUGAACAGGUGAUAAUUAGAUACAGCUGUGUUUUACCUCAGGACAGGGCAUAAUGCCCAAAUAAUGCAGGUGGGAGUGAGAGACAAUGUCCUUUUUUUUUUCUUACAAGUAUGGGCAAGACAUUUAUGCUUUGCUUCUGUGCUGAGUUGGCUGCCAUCAGCUGUGGCACUCGGAAGUGGCAGCAAAAUGCAAAGGGCUUAAAUCUUCUGAAUCUUACUUUGAAGAGGUGCAGCCAAGAAGUAGAAAUGGAAACAGUUAUCUUUGUCCCCAGGUUUGUUGGGCCUGUUUUCUUUUGAAAACACUCAUCUGGCCUCUGGCUGGAUUGGUGAGACAACAGCAAAUGCCAGCACCAUGCAAGGAAUAAAUACUUCUCUCUUUCACCAUGCUCCCUACCAGUCAUUGCGUGAUGGCUUUGGCUUUUGACAGGAUCAAACUGGAUUAAAAAAAUGAAUCCCAGCAAAACUUACCUGUCAUUAAGCUCCCAGGAAUGGAGUAUUUGUAGAAACUUGCAUGUACCGCUGCUCUGUAGCUUUUGGUUAGGUGUGAUACUGUUUCAUCAUGGCAAAUUCUGCAACUAAAAGCUCUUUGUGCUGCCUUUGCCGCCCAUCUGGAUCCAAGAGCCCUGACUGCCUGGACACAAAGCCCUGUGUUCCUGGGAAGCUCCAGCUGGGAUAGAGUGUGGCAGAAUACCUCCACAGUUUGUUCUGUGUCUGUCAAGCUUUGUCCUCUGUUCUUUGCAGAGCUUUACCAUGGAUUGUCAGACUAAGCUUAGACCCAGGAACAUGUACGGCUGUCCAGGGAGAGGGAGGAAAACCUCAACCCAACAGCAGCACUCAGAUUGUGCAGAGCAAACCUGCUGCAGCAGCACAGGGACUCCAGAGCCCAACCUGGCAGCACAACCUCAGGUGUGGCAGCUUGGAAAAGGAGAGGGAGGUAGGGGCCUCUUCCCAGAGAGCAUCCUGCUCCCUGCAGGCUUCUGAGUUAGGACAGGUAAGGCUGAGGAAGAUCACCUCUACCUGCUCUUUCCUCCACCCUCUUCAGGGUUUUUCACUGCUGGGAUGGGGAAGGUAGCAAAGAUUUAAACAUUGUUUUUAGUGAGGUAAAUUGGUUAACCUAUUUAAAGCAGUCAAGAGGUCUCAGAAAAUGUUAAUGAGUCUUUAAGAAAGGAGUAGGAGCUGUGUAAUUUAAAGGCAAAUACUUGUGGGUAGAAAAUUGGAAUAAAAAUCUUCCAAACUACUUUUCAUUUUACAUUAUUAAAAUUGCAAUAGGGUGAAAGCGAUCACACAGUAUUGUAUAUUUUAAUGGCUAAUAGACAUGCACACACAUAUAUAACUUUUUUGUAUAGAUAUUUUAUAUUGAUAGGUGUUAAAAUACCAUUGCUUUUACGGUUGAUUGCCUU
RNA transcript from Passer montanus (Eurasian tree sparrow), 4572 nucleotides. It is a transcript of the gene named SIVA1 apoptosis inducing factor, with no coding region annotated. The record is from RefSeq and is a predicted model, not a curated record. Lineage: Eukaryota; Metazoa; Chordata; Aves; Passeriformes; Passeridae. The transcript is spliced from 5 exons.